Molecule: non-coding RNA, 57 nt
Organism: Triticum aestivum (bread wheat)
Lineage: Eukaryota; Viridiplantae; Streptophyta; Magnoliopsida; Poales; Poaceae
Source: Rfam
GAAUCCAUUGCUUAGUUGGUAGAGCACAAAGCUCUUAACCUUGUGGACGUGGGUUCA